AAGACUUUCCUGAGCACGAGGUCACCUUCUCGGAACACACGAGGCUUGACCUUCUUAUCGAAUGCUUUCGUCAUUCUGCUGAUAUAACUGACCAUGACACAUGGCAGUUGAUCUCUUCUUUUUGAUUGAAUUCAACAUCAGUCAACUGGGGACUUUGAGGGUGCUAUGUCUCUUUUUUUUUUCUUUCUUUUUUUUUCUUGUGAUUUCUUUUGAUUUCUUUUGAUUUUUCACCCUCUUCUUUCUUUUUUCUUCUCUUUUUUUUUUUGAUAAUGCCCCAGUUGGUUGUUCUGCUGAUUCUCGAGAUGCAGCUGAGUGAUCUUCUUUUCUUGCUCAAGAAGUCGGGAAAUCUCGUCAGGAAUUCCUUUAACAUCAUCUUCUUCCGCUUCGAAUACAGGGAAUUCAAAAUUGGGAGAUGACGUCCGAUCAUUAUGUUUAAUGGGUUUAAGAAACAACCUGCAUAAAGAUUUUGAUAUGAAAAGCUUUUUGAAAAUC
Molecule: long non-coding RNA, 492 nt
Filed under: Lathyrus oleraceus (garden pea)
Lineage: Eukaryota; Viridiplantae; Streptophyta; Magnoliopsida; Fabales; Fabaceae
Description: Pisum sativum (pea) long non-coding RNA (PSAT_LNC041663)
Source: RNAcentral